GUGUCAGCAGCCGCGGUAAUACGUAGGGCGCAAGCGUUGUCCGGAAUUAUUGGGCGUAAAGAGCUCGUAGGCGGUUUGUCGCGUCUGCUGUGAAAACCCGAGGCUCAACCUCGGGCCUGCAGUGGGUACGGGCAGACUAGAGUGUGGUAGGGGAGACUGGAAUUCCUGGUGUAGCGGUGGAAUGCGCAGAUAUCAGGAGGAACACCAAUGGCGAAGGCAGGUCUCUGGGCCACAACUGACGCUGAGGAGCGAAAGCGUGGGGAGCGAACAGGAUUAGAAACCCUGGUAGUCC
This 292-nucleotide ribosomal RNA is filed under the name uncultured bacterium. RNAcentral describes it as "partial 16S ribosomal RNA". It matches the Rfam family "Bacterial small subunit ribosomal RNA", at positions 505 to 796 of the family's 1533-position model. The record is from RNAcentral.